RNAcentral lists this long non-coding RNA (200 nucleotides) under Panax ginseng (ginseng). RNAcentral describes it as "long non-coding RNA (PGIN_LNC005501)". The record is from RNAcentral. Lineage: Eukaryota; Viridiplantae; Streptophyta; Magnoliopsida; Apiales; Araliaceae.
UUGACUAUUUGUUUGUUAAGACGGCGCCAUGUGGGGUUGAGGUGGCAAUUUGACGAUUUUGCCCUUCACCGGGGUUAUCUCCGGUUUUGGCUGAUAAAGCAGACGUUGCUCAGGGUUAUAUCUGAGAUUGGAGUUGUACAAGUGUUGAAUGCGCUCAAGGUUGUCUCUUAGGUGUGUCUGUCCUCCCGGGGUUAUCUUCG